UACAGAGAUGGCGAGCGUUACUCGGAUUUAUUGGGUGUAAAGGGCAGGUAGGUGUUCUGCUAAGUUAGUGGUGAAAUCCUGCAGCUCAACUGCAGAACUGCCACUAAAACUGACAGAAUUGAGGUUAGAAGAGGAGAGCGGAAUUCCCGGUGUAAGAGUGAAAUCUGUAGAUAUCGGGAGGAACACCAGUGGCGAAAGCGGCUCUCUGGUCUAACCCUGACGCUGAUCUGCGAAAGCUAGGGGAGCAAACAGG
Molecule: ribosomal RNA, 253 nt
Filed under: uncultured bacterium
Lineage: Bacteria
Description: partial 16S ribosomal RNA
Rfam family: Bacterial small subunit ribosomal RNA
Source: RNAcentral